This 388-nucleotide ribosomal RNA is filed under the name uncultured bacterium. Its description in RNAcentral is "bacterial SSU rRNA". It matches the Rfam family "Bacterial small subunit ribosomal RNA", at positions 28 to 417 of the family's 1533-position model. The record is from RNAcentral.
GACGAACGCUGGCGGCGUGCUUAACACAUGCAAGUCGAGCGGUAAGGCCCUUUCGGGGGUACACGAGCGGCGAACGGGUGAGUAACACGUGGGUGACCUGCCCUCAGCUCUGGGAUAAGCCUGGGAAACCGGGUCUAAUACCGGAUAUGACUCCAUGACGCAUGUUGUGGGGUGGAAAGCCUUGUGCGACUGAGGAUGGGCCCGCGGCCUAUCAGCUUGUUGGUGGGGUGAUGGCCUACCAAGGCGACGACGGGUAGCCGGCCUGAGAGGGCGACCGGCCACACUGGGACUGAGACACGGCCCAGACUCCUACGGGAGGCAGCAGUGGGGAAUCUUGCGCAAUGGGCGAAAGCCUGACGCAGCGACGCCGCGUGAGGGAUGACGGCCU